GGUUUUCACUCCUACGGGAGGCAGCAGUGGGGAAUAUUGCACAAUGGGCGCAAGCCUGAUGCAGCCAUGCCGCGUGUGUGAAGAAGGCCUUCGGGUUGUAAAGCACUUUCAGUCGUGAGGAAGGUAGUGUAGUUAAUAGCUGCAUUAUUUGACGUUAGCGACAGAAGAAGCACCGGCUAACUCCGUGCCAGCAGCCGCGGUAAUACGGAGGGUGCGAGCGUUAAUCGGAAUUACUGGGCGUAAAGCGCAUGCAGGUGGUUUGUUAAGUCAGAUGUGAAAGCCCGGGGCUCAACCUCGGAAUUGCAUUUGAAACUGGCAGACUAGAGUACUGUAGAGGGGGUAGAAUUUCAGGUGUAGCGGUGAAAUGCGUAGAGAUCUGAAGGAAUACCGGUGGCGAAGGCGGCCCCCUGGACAGAUACUGACACUCAGAUGCGAAAGCGUGGGGAGCAAACAGGAUUAGAUACCCUGGUAG
This 472-nucleotide ribosomal RNA is filed under the name uncultured bacterium. RNAcentral describes it as "bacterial SSU rRNA". It matches the Rfam family "Bacterial small subunit ribosomal RNA", at positions 328 to 793 of the family's 1533-position model. The record is from RNAcentral.